This 465-nucleotide ribosomal RNA is filed under the name Vreelandella stevensii. RNAcentral describes it as "partial 16S ribosomal RNA". It matches the Rfam family "Bacterial small subunit ribosomal RNA", at positions 338 to 795 of the family's 1533-position model. The record is from RNAcentral. Lineage: Bacteria; Pseudomonadati; Pseudomonadota; Gammaproteobacteria; Oceanospirillales; Halomonadaceae.
CCUACGGGUGGCAGCAGUGGGGAAUAUUGGACAAUGGGCGAAAGCCUGAUCCAGCCAUGCCGCGUGUGUGAAGAAGGCCUUCGGGUUGUAAAGCACUUUCAGUGGGGAAGAAAGCCUUGGGGCUAAUACCCUCGAGGAAGGACAUCACUCACAGAAGAAGCACCGGCUAACUCCGUGCCAGCAGCCGCGGUAAUACGGAGGGUGCGAGCGUUAAUCGGAAUUACUGGGCGUAAAGCGCGCGUAGGCGGUCUGAUAAGCCGGUUGUGAAAGCCCCGGGCUCAACCUGGGAACGGCAUCCGGAACGGUCAGGCUAGAGUGCAGGAGAGGAAGGUAGAAUCCCCGGUGUAGCGGUGAAAUGCGUAGAGAUCGGGAGGAAUACCAGUGGCGAAGGCGGCCUUCUGGACUGACACUGACGCUGAGGUGCGAAAGCGUGGGUAGCAAACAGGAUUAGAUACCCUGGUAGUC